RNAcentral lists this unclassified non-coding RNA (304 nucleotides) under uncultured fungus. RNAcentral describes it as "partial contains small subunit ribosomal RNA, internal transcribed spacer 1, and 5.8S ribosomal RNA". The stretch from base 1 to 73 matches the Rfam family "Eukaryotic small subunit ribosomal RNA", at positions 1759 to 1831 of the family's 1831-position model. Lineage: Eukaryota; Fungi. The record is from RNAcentral.
GCAAACUUGGUCAUUUAGAGGAAGUAAAAGUCGUAACAAGGUUUCCGUAGGUGAACCUGCGGAAGGAUCAUUAUCGAAUCCUUAGGAUGUUGCUGGUCUUAGGACAUGUGCACUCCGCCUUUUCUAUACACCUGUGAACUUAUUGUAGGUGGCAAGUUAGUUUUACUACUUGUCUACCUAUGUUUUUAUAACACACCCUUAAAAAUGUAUAUUGAAUGUCUAAAUACGGCCUUUAUUGGUCAGUAAACUUAAUACAACUUUCAACAAUGGAUCUCUUGGUUCUCGCAUCGAUGAAGAACGCAGC